This 639-nucleotide ribosomal RNA is filed under the name uncultured Actinomycetes bacterium. RNAcentral describes it as "bacterial SSU rRNA". It matches the Rfam family "Bacterial small subunit ribosomal RNA", at positions 232 to 885 of the family's 1533-position model. Lineage: Bacteria; Bacillati; Actinomycetota; Actinomycetes. The record is from RNAcentral.
CGCGGCCUAUCAGCUUGUUGGUGAGGUAACGGCUCACCAAGGCCUCGACGGGUAGCUGGUCUGAGAGGACGAUCAGCCACACUGGGACUGAGACACGGCCCAGACUCCUGCGGGAGGCAGCAGUGGGGAAUCUUGCGCAAUGGGCGAAAGCCUGACGCAGCCACGCCGCGUGGGGGACGAAGGCCCUCGGGUUGUAAACCCCUUUCAGCAGGGACGAAACUGACGGUACCUGCAGAAGAAGCUCCGGCCAACUACGUGCCAGCAGCCGCGGUAACACGUAGGGAGCGAGCGUUGUCCGGAUUUAUUGGGCGGAAAGGGCUCGUAGGCGGUUUGGUAAGUCGGGUGUGAAAGCUCAGGGCUCAACUCUGAGAAGCCAUCUGAUACUGCCAUGACUAGAGUUCGGUAGAGGAGCGUGGAAUUUCCGGUGUAGCGGUGAAAUGCUCAGAUAUCGGGAGGAGCACCAGCAGCGAAGGCGGCGCUCUGGGCCGAAACUGACGCUGAGGAGCGAAAGCGUGGGGAGCAAACAGGAUUAGAUACCCUGGUAGUCCACGCCGUAAACGGUGGGCACUAGGUGUGGGGCCUAAUCAACGGGUUCCGUGCCGUAGCUAACGCAUUAAGUGCCCCGCCUGGGGAGUACGG